GUGCCAGCAGCCGCGGUAAUUCCAGCUCCAAUAGCGUAUAUUAAAGUUGUUGUGGUUAAAAAGCUCGUAGUUGAACCUUGGGCCUGGCUGGCCGGUCCGCCUCACCGCGUGCACUGGUCCGGCCGGGCCUUUCCCUCUGUGGAACCCCAUACCCUUCACUGGGCGUGGCGGGGAAACAGGACAUUUACUUUGAAAAAAUUAGAGUGCUCCAGGCAGGCCUAUGCUCGAAUACAUUAGCAUGGAAUAAUAAAAUAGGACGCGCGGUUCUAUUUUGUUGGUUUAUAGGACCGCCGUAAUGAUUAAUAGGGACAGUCGGGGGCAUCAGUAUUCAACUGUCAGAGGUGAAAUUCUUGGAUCAGUUGAAGACUAACUACUGCGAAAGCAUUUGCCAAGGAUGUUUUCAUUAAUCAGGAACGAAAGUUAGGGGAUCGAAGACGAUCAGAUACCGUCGUAGUCUUAACCAUAAACUAUGCCGACUAGGGAUCGGACGGUGUUAUUCAUGACCCGUUCGGCACCUUACGAGAAAUCAAAGUGCUUGGGCUCCAGGGGGAGUAUGGUCGCAAGGCUGAAACUUAAAGAAAUUGACGGAAGGGCACCACCAGGGGUGGAGCCUGCGGCUUAAUUUGACUCAACACGGGGAAACUCACCAGGUCCAGACACAAUAAGGAUUGACAGAUUGAGAGCUCUUUCUUGAUUUUGUGGGUGGUGGUGCAUGGCCGUUCUUAGUUGGUGGGGGUGACUUGUCUGCUUAAUUGCGAUAACGAACGAGACCUUAACCUGCUAAAUAGCCCGCAUGCUCCGGCAGUGCGGCUGGCUUCUAGAGGGACUUCGGCUCAGCCGAAGGAAGUUGAGCAAUACAGUCUGUGGAUGCCUACGAUGUCUGACGCACGCGCGCUUAACUGACGGUCAGCGAGUUCCUUGACCGAAGCCAGGUAACCUGGUUUAC
This 946-nucleotide ribosomal RNA is filed under the name uncultured fungus. RNAcentral's name for it is "SSU rRNA". It matches the Rfam family "Eukaryotic small subunit ribosomal RNA", at positions 564 to 1559 of the family's 1831-position model. Lineage: Eukaryota; Fungi. The record is from RNAcentral.